Molecule: ribosomal RNA, 2903 nt
Filed under: Klebsiella quasipneumoniae
Lineage: Bacteria; Pseudomonadati; Pseudomonadota; Gammaproteobacteria; Enterobacterales; Enterobacteriaceae
Description: 23S ribosomal RNA
Rfam family: Bacterial large subunit ribosomal RNA
Source: RNAcentral
GGUUAAGCGACUAAGCGUACACGGUGGAUGCCCUGGCAGUCAGAGGCGAUGAAGGACGUGCUAAUCUGCGAAAAGCGUCGGUAAGGUGAUAUGAACCGUUAUAACCGGCGAUGUCCGAAUGGGGAAACCCAGUGCAAUUCGUUGCACUAUCGUUAACUGAAUACAUAGGUUAACGAGGCGAACCGGGGGAACUGAAACAUCUAAGUACCCCGAGGAAAAGAAAUCAACCGAGAUUCCCCCAGUAGCGGCGAGCGAACGGGGAGCAGCCCAGAGUCUGAAUCAGCUUGUGUGUUAGUGGAACGGUCUGGAAAGUCCGACGGUACAGGGUGAUAGUCCCGUACACCAAAAUGCACAGGUUGUGAACUCGAAGAGUAGGGCGGGACACGUGGUAUCCUGUCUGAAUAUGGGGGGACCAUCCUCCAAGGCUAAAUACUCCUGACUGACCGAUAGUGAACCAGUACCGUGAGGGAAAGGCGAAAAGAACCCCGGCGAGGGGAGUGAAAAAGAACCUGAAACCGUGUACGUACAAGCAGUGGGAGCACCUUUAUGGUGUGACUGCGUACCUUUUGUAUAAUGGGUCAGCGACUUAUAUUCUGUAGCAAGGUUAACCGUAUAGGGGAGCCGCAGGGAAACCGAGUCUUAACUGGGCGUUAAGUUGCAGGGUAUAGACCCGAAACCCGGUGAUCUAGCCAUGGGCAGGUUGAAGGUUGGGUAACACUAACUGGAGGACCGAACCGACUAAUGUUGAAAAAUUAGCGGAUGACUUGUGGCUGGGGGUGAAAGGCCAAUCAAACCGGGAGAUAGCUGGUUCUCCCCGAAAGCUAUUUAGGUAGCGCCUCGUGAAUUCAUCUUCGGGGGUAGAGCACUGUUUCGGCUAGGGGGUCAUCCCGACUUACCAACCCGAUGCAAACUACGAAUACCGAAGAAUGUUAUCACGGGAGACACACGGCGGGUGCUAACGUCCGUCGUGAAGAGGGAAACAACCCAGACCGCCAGCUAAGGUCCCAAAGUCAUGGUUAAGUGGGAAACGAUGUGGGAAGGCACAGACAGCCAGGAUGUUGGCUUAGAAGCAGCCAUCAUUUAAAGAAAGCGUAAUAGCUCACUGGUCGAGUCGGCCUGCGCGGAAGAUGUAACGGGGCUAAACCAUGCACCGAAGCUGCGGCAGCGACACGAUGUGUUGUUGGGUAGGGGAGCGUUCUGUAAGCCUGCGAAGGUGGCCUGUGAGGGUUGCUGGAGGUAUCAGAAGUGCGAAUGCUGACAUAAGUAACGAUAAAGCGGGUGAAAAGCCCGCUCGCCGGAAGACCAAGGGUUCCUGUCCAACGUUAAUCGGGGCAGGGUGAGUCGACCCCUAAGGCGAGGCCGAAAGGCGUAGUCGAUGGGAAACAGGUUAAUAUUCCUGUACUUGGUGUUACUGCGAAGGGGGGACGGAGAAGGCUAUGUUAGCCGGGCGACGGUUGUCCCGGUUUAAGCAUGUAGGCUGGUUAUCCAGGCAAAUCCGGAUAAUCAAGGCUGAGGUGUGAUGACGAGGCACUACGGUGCUGAAGUAACAAAUGCCCUGCUUCCAGGAAAAGCCUCUAAGCAUCAGGUAACAUCAAAUCGUACCCCAAACCGACACAGGUGGUCAGGUAGAGAAUACCAAGGCGCUUGAGAGAACUCGGGUGAAGGAACUAGGCAAAAUGGUGCCGUAACUUCGGGAGAAGGCACGCUGGUGUGUAGGUGAAGUCCCUGCGGAUGGAGCUGAGACCAGUCGAAGAUACCAGCUGGCUGCAACUGUUUAUUAAAAACACAGCACUGUGCAAACACGAAAGUGGACGUAUACGGUGUGACGCCUGCCCGGUGCCGGAAGGUUAAUUGAUGGGGUUAUCCGUAAGGAGAAGCUCUUGAUCGAAGCCCCGGUAAACGGCGGCCGUAACUAUAACGGUCCUAAGGUAGCGAAAUUCCUUGUCGGGUAAGUUCCGACCUGCACGAAUGGCGUAAUGAUGGCCAGGCUGUCUCCACCCGAGACUCAGUGAAAUUGAACUCGCUGUGAAGAUGCAGUGUACCCGCGGCAAGACGGAAAGACCCCGUGAACCUUUACUAUAGCUUGACACUGAACAUUGAGCCUUGAUGUGUAGGAUAGGUGGGAGGCUUUGAAGCGUGGACGCCAGUCUGCGUGGAGCCAACCUUGAAAUACCACCCUUUAAUGUUUGAUGUUCUAACGUGGGCCCCUAAUCGGGGUUGCGGACAGUGUCUGGUGGGUAGUUUGACUGGGGCGGUCUCCUCCCAAAGCGUAACGGAGGAGCACGAAGGUUAGCUAAUCCUGGUCGGACAUCAGGAGGUUAGUGCAAUGGCAUAAGCUAGCUUGACUGCGAGCGUGACGGCGCGAGCAGGUGCGAAAGCAGGUCAUAGUGAUCCGGUGGUUCUGAAUGGAAGGGCCAUCGCUCAACGGAUAAAAGGUACUCCGGGGAUAACAGGCUGAUACCGCCCAAGAGUUCAUAUCGACGGCGGUGUUUGGCACCUCGAUGUCGGCUCAUCACAUCCUGGGGCUGAAGUAGGUCCCAAGGGUAUGGCUGUUCGCCAUUUAAAGUGGUACGCGAGCUGGGUUUAGAACGUCGUGAGACAGUUCGGUCCCUAUCUGCCGUGGGCGCUGGAGAAUUGAGGGGGGCUGCUCCUAGUACGAGAGGACCGGAGUGGACGCAUCACUGGUGUUCGGGUUGUCAUGCCAAUGGCACUGCCCGGUAGCUAAAUGCGGAAGAGAUAAGUGCUGAAAGCAUCUAAGCACGAAACUUGCCCCGAGAUGAGUUCUCCCUGAGACUUUAAGUCUCCUGAAGGAACGUUGAAGACGACGACGUUGAUAGGCCGGGUGUGUAAGCGCAGCGAUGCGUUGAGCUAACCGGUACUAAUGAACCGUGAGGCUUAACCUU